Long non-coding RNA from Columba livia (rock pigeon), 1541 nucleotides. RefSeq lists it as uncharacterized. The record is from RefSeq and is a predicted model, not a curated record. The transcript is spliced from 3 exons. Lineage: Eukaryota; Metazoa; Chordata; Aves; Columbiformes; Columbidae.
UGGGUGGAUGGAUGGCAGAGGUCAGAGGGAGACAGUAAGAUAGAAGACAGAGGGCUGGGAAGAAGGUGGAAGGAUAAAAGGUGGAAUCAUAGAAUCAUUUUGGUUGGAAGAGCCCCUCAAGAUCGUCAAGUUCAAACAUUAACCCAACACUGUCACUAACCCAUGUGCCUGAGAACCUCAUCUCUGUGUCUGUUCAACCCCUUCAGGGAUGGUAACUCCACCACUGCCCUGGGCAGCCUGUUCCAAUGCCCGACAGCCCUUUCCAGGAAGAAAUAGUUCCCAAGAUCCAAUCUCAACCUCCCCUGACGCAACUUGAGGACAUUUCCUCUCGUCCUAUCACUUGUUCUUUGGGAGAAGGAGAGAUAGGAGAGACAAGAAAGAUGUAGGGAUGGAAGAUGAAGGCAUGAGGUGAAAAUGGAGGAAUGGGGGAGACGACACAGAGAGAUGGUAGGAGGAAGGAAUUAUAGAGGAAGAUGGAAGGAAGGGCUUUUUGGAAUUGAGGAGAAAUUCUGGAUAUCCUGGUCCAGGGGAAGUGAGAGAGAUGGAGGUCAAGUGGGGCUUGGAGCCCCAAGUGUCCUCCUUGGCAGCCUGUGGAUGAAGGGACAGGGCUGGCAUGGGACAGGGGCCCAGGGCCACCAAGUGGGGCCAGUGGCGCAGAAGGGCUUUUGUGUCCCACACAUGGGGACAAGAGGGGUCCCUGCAAGGCACACAUGGGGCAAACCCACAUUUCUGCCUUGGUGGAAAUGCUUUAGCCCAGGAACAAAGGGCAAAGUGAGGGACAUAUGGAGAAAAACAGGUUUCUGCACCUGCAACAUGUGUAUUGCUUGUUCGAGUAUUUGUGGUUUAUUAUCAUAAUUUCAUUUAACAGGAGAUGGGGUUCAGGUCCUAGGAGGACAAGGAAACCAUGAGUAAUCUCCUUUGAGGUCCUGCACAGUGUGACUGGGAGAGCGAAUAAUCUGCAGUGCUGGUAAUUUGUAUGUAUCUGGGAUGCGAACACCCCGGGCUGCCUGCCUGGAUUUGCCUUCACACUGAGGGUGUUUCUUCCUGUGGCAGCAGCUGCCUGCACCGGACAAACGCUGCCCAAGUCCCAAACCCAGCACCGAGCAACACAGCAGGGAAAACACAGCCCAGGAGGAGCAGGAAGGCAGAGCGUGAGCACAGGUUGUCUCUGCUCCCUUCACUGAGAGAUGUCCCCGAGAGAGGGAGAAUUAAGCAAACCCUUCAGUGGGGCAGGAUCGGGCGCUCUGGCACUAUACGGAGCUCAGGUUUGUAUCUCUGCUGUGCCUGGAGUUAGCGCUGCCGUCUCGCUUGGGUGAAGGGUGGUAGGGAAGGGGCUGCAUGGUGACUUUCUCACCAAAUUCCUGAAGCCACCAGGAAGCCACAUCCCCAGAGGAAAUCUGGCAGCAGCACUGAGCCUCGUUGGGUGUCCCAUCUGUGACGUCCCAUGAGUGCUGAUGGAAUCCAGAGGCAGCAGCUCCUACAGCUCUGCAGCCUUUGCUGGCUUCCAGAUUUUCUGCCAAGCACAAAAUGUGACAUGAAAG